Molecule: long non-coding RNA, 234 nt
Filed under: Musa acuminata (dwarf banana)
Lineage: Eukaryota; Viridiplantae; Streptophyta; Magnoliopsida; Zingiberales; Musaceae
Description: long non-coding RNA (MACU_LNC009450)
Source: RNAcentral
UUUUCCUUUCAACUUAUCAAGCUUCUUAGUUUGUGGCGUUUUAAGGGAAUCAAAGUACUAUUCUAAUUACUUCAUCAAAUUUUCAUUGAUUAUGUGAUUAGAAUAGUUUUCCUAACUUUAAUCUUGAACGAUCCAUCUUGUUUCAAAUCGUUGGAGGGGGUCAAUUUGCAUUCCAUAUGUAUCAUAGCUCUUUAGCUAUCGGGGUAUAUGGUUGCUAAGUUGAAGAUUUUCAUC